Molecule: transfer RNA, 83 nt
Filed under: Bacteroidota bacterium
Lineage: Bacteria; Pseudomonadati; Bacteroidota
Description: Bacteroidetes bacterium (hot springs metagenome) tRNA-Leu
Rfam family: tRNA
About the family: Transfer RNA (tRNA) molecules are approximately 80 nucleotides in length. Their secondary structure includes four short double-helical elements and three loops (D, anti-codon, and T loops).
Source: RNAcentral
GCUCAGGUGGUGGAAUUGGUAGACACGCCAUCUUGAGGGGGUGGUGCCUUCCGGGUGUAGGGGUUCGAGUCCCCUCCUGAGCA